AAAAGAGGAGAAAGCUCUUGAGUAUUUGGUCAUUAGGAGGAGGAAAAUUGAAGGAAAUCCCCAACCAUAGUGGGCUUGGAGCUGUGAGGGAAUUCGGAGUGGCCACCCGUUCUGAAAGUUUGAUUUUCUUCUGGUGAACUGGACAUCCUUUUAAUUACGUUUGAGGUUUUGGGCUUUUAAAUGUAAUAAGGCCGCUUAUUUAUUUUUGAUGGUUUUUAUAUGUUUUAUUAAGAUAGAUAAUAUUUAUUUUAACUGUUGAAAUUGGAUAGCUUUAGGGCGCGUUUUCAAAAACAA
Long non-coding RNA from Gossypium arboreum, 294 nucleotides. RefSeq lists it as uncharacterized. The record is from RefSeq and is a predicted model, not a curated record. NCBI's taxonomy places the organism in Eukaryota, Viridiplantae, Streptophyta, Magnoliopsida, Malvales, Malvaceae. The transcript has 2 exons.